This 389-nucleotide ribosomal RNA is filed under the name uncultured bacterium. RNAcentral describes it as "bacterial SSU rRNA". It matches the Rfam family "Bacterial small subunit ribosomal RNA", at positions 29 to 420 of the family's 1533-position model. The record is from RNAcentral.
AUUAAACGCUGGCGGCAUGCCUUACACAUGCAAGUCGAACGGCAGCACGGGGGCAACCUUGGUGGCGAGUGGCGAACGGGUGAGUAAAGCAUCGGAACGUGCCCUGGAGUGGGGGAUAACGUAGCGAAAGUUACGCUAAUACCGCAUAUUCUGUGAGCAGGAAAGCAGGGGAUCGCAAGACCUUGCGCUCUGGGAGCGGCCGAUGUCGGAUUAGCUAGUUGGUGGGUAAAGGCCUACCAAGGCGACGAUCCGUAGCGGGUCUGAGAGGAUGAUCCGCCACACUGGGACUGAGACACGGCCCAGACUCCUACGGGAGGCAGCAGUGGGGAAUUUUGGACAAUGGGCGAAAGCCUGAUCCAGCCAUGCCGCGUGAGUGAAGAAGGCCUCGG